This 1059-nucleotide long non-coding RNA is filed under the name Apteryx rowi (Okarito brown kiwi). RNAcentral describes it as "lncRNA (ENSARWG00000008363.1)". The record is from RNAcentral. Lineage: Eukaryota; Metazoa; Chordata; Aves; Apterygiformes; Apterygidae.
GGCUGCGCACGCUAAUCACCGCCUAGCCCCGUCCCGCGAGCAGAGCCGCUUUCAGCUUUUCGAGUCGCCCGGUUCCGCCGGCCUCUCCUGUUUCCCACGGAUGGGACCUUCCGAAGGGCGCCGAAUGGGGCUCUGGAAGGGACCACUGGGAAAGCGGGGGGGGGGGGCCCGAGCGGAGCGCCGCGCGGCUUCCUUUGGCUCGAGUACAAUAGCGGGGCUGCGGGGCGCCUACAGCUCCCAGGCUGCGGGGCUGCGGCCGGCGCCGCGCGGCAUGCCGGGACCUGUAGUCGCGGCGGGGCGGCGGCGCCCGCUCGGGCCCCCGGCCGGGAAGGCAGGGCGCCGGGGCGGGUUUUGCGUUGUUGCCCUCUUACCGAGGGUGCCGCUGAAAGGGCCGGCGGGAGGCCUCGAGCCGCGGAAGGAGGCCGAGGCGGGACGCAGGGCUCCCGGAGGCCGAGCGGCCGGCGCCGCUGCGCUGAUGUUCAUGGAGGCUAAUGUACGGAGGACAGAAGGACACAUCAAGGAACUGGGAGAGAGAUCCAGUGCUGUGCUGAGAGGAACGCCGAUAUCAGUGGGAUAUGUGAUUCCAACUGCUGGAAAUAAGAGAAGAAAUCGGGUGCUAUUUUCUAUCUCUCUGUGUGUUUUGAAACGUUUAAAAUUGGACCUAUGAGUUCCCAAAUGGAAAUACUGCUGUCCCUGGACUCCACCGUACACUUGGCAGAGCCUAUUUUGCUGCGAGUCGAAGGGCAGCUGCAGAGCUAUUGUGGACUGCGCGGAGGGAACCUCAUUUGCCUGCCUGUAACAAAGCUUCGGUGAAGGGUAUUCCCCAGGCCCCGCAGCAGCACCUCUGCAACGGAAACGCACGCAGCAGAAGGCAAGCCUGUACACAGGGCAUCGUAGGUGCUCUCAAAUCUUUGCCUACAAGUAUCAGGAAAAGCGUGAAAAAAUGGCCAGCAUGUUUAAAAGACACCAGGAAAUAGUCUGAAUAUUCACAUUUCAAAAUUUGAUUUUGAAACCAGUUAUUUGAAUAAAUAGUUUGCAGUGCCCCUUUAAAAAGAACCC